This 253-nucleotide ribosomal RNA is filed under the name uncultured bacterium. Its description in RNAcentral is "partial 16S ribosomal RNA". It matches the Rfam family "Bacterial small subunit ribosomal RNA", at positions 524 to 776 of the family's 1533-position model. The record is from RNAcentral.
UACGAAGGGGGCUAGCGUUGCUCGGAAUUACUGGGCGUAAAGCGCACGUAGGCGGCUUCUUAAGUCGGUGGUGAAAUCCUGGAGCUCAACUCCAGAACUGCCUUCGAUACUGGGAAGCUCGAGUCCGGGAGAGGUGAGUGGAACUGCGAGUGUAGAGGUGAAAUUCGUAGAUAUUCGCAAGAACACCAGUGGCGAAGGCGGCUCACUGGCCCAUAACUGACGCUGAGGCACGAAAGCGUGGGGAGCAAACAGG